ACGAGUGUGAGAGUGGAAAGUUCACACUGUGACGGUAGCUUACCAGAAAGGGACGGCUAACUACGUGCCAGCAGCCGCGGUAAUACGUAGGUCCCGAGCGUUGUCCGGAUUUAUUGGGCGUAAAGCGAGCGCAGGCGGUUUGAUAAGUCUGAAGUUAAAGGCUGUGGCUCAACCAUAGUUCGCUUUGGAAACUGUCAAACUUGAGUGCAGAAGGGGAGAGUGGAAUUCCAUGUGUAGCGGUGAAAUGCGUAGAUAUAUGGAGGAACACCGGUGGCGAAAGCGGCCUACUGGGCUUUAACUGACGCUGAGGCUCGAAAGUGUGGGGAGCAAACAGGAUUAGAUACCCUGGUAGUCCACACUGUAAACGAUGAUUGCUAGGUGUGGGGGGUCUGACCCCUUCCGUGCCGGAGUUGUCGACGCGGCCG
Molecule: ribosomal RNA, 425 nt
Filed under: uncultured bacterium
Lineage: Bacteria
Description: bacterial SSU rRNA
Rfam family: Bacterial small subunit ribosomal RNA
Source: RNAcentral